Molecule: non-coding RNA, 1024 nt
Organism: Caenorhabditis japonica
Lineage: Eukaryota; Metazoa; Nematoda; Chromadorea; Rhabditida; Rhabditidae
Source: Rfam
UACCUUGAAUAAAUCAGAGUGCUCAAUACAGGCGCUUGCUUGAAUAGCUCAUCAUGGAAUAAUGAAACAGGACUUCGGUUCUUUUUGUUGGUUCUAGAAUUGAUCUAAUGGUUAAGAGGGACAAACCGGGGGCAUUCGUAUCAUUACGCGAGAGGUGAAAUUCGUGGACCGUAGUGAGACGCCCAAUAGCGAAAGCAUUUGCCAAGAAUGUCUUCAUUAAUCAAGAACGAAAGUCAGAGGUUCGAAGGCGAUUAGAUACCGCCCUAGUUCUGACCGUAAACGAUGCCAUCUCGCGAUUCGGAGGGUUCAUGCCCUACCGAGGAGCUACCCGGAAACGAAAGUCUUUCGGUUCCGGGGGUAGUAUGGUUGCAAAGCUGAAACUUAAAGAAAUUGACGGAAGGGCACCACAAGGCGUGGAGCUUGCGGCUUAAUUUGACUCAACACGGGAAAACUCACCCGGUCCGGACACUAUUAGGACUGACAGAUUGAAAGCUCUUUCUCGAUUUGGUGGUUGGUGGUGCAUGGCCGUUCUUAGUUGGUGGAGUGAUUUGUCUGGUUUAUUCCGAUAACGAGCGAGACUCUAGCCUGCUAAAUAGUCGACGAAUCUUCGGGGUUCGUAUAACUUCUUAGAGGGAUAAGCGGUGUUUAGCCGCACGAGAUUGAACGAUAACAGGUCUGUGAUGCCCUUAGAUGUCCGGGGCUGCACGCGUGCUACACUGGUGGAGUCAGCGGGUUUUUCCUAUGCCGAAAGGUAUCGGUAAACCGUUGAACUUCUUCCAUGUCCGGGAUAGGGUAUUGUAAUUAUUACCCUUAAACGAGGAAUGCCUAGUAAGUGUGAGUCAUCAGCUCACGUUGAUUACGUCCCUGCCCUUUGUACACACCGCCCGUCGCUAUCCGGGACUGAACUGAUUCGAGAAGAGUGGGGACUGUGGCUGCGAGGUUUUACCACUUCGCAGUUGCGGAAACCAUUUUUAUCGCAUUGGUUUGAACCGGGUAAAAGUCGUAACAAGGUAGCUGUAGGUGU